CAGCCGGAGGUAGGGUCCA
This 19-nucleotide small nuclear RNA is filed under the name Arabidopsis thaliana (thale cress). RNAcentral's name for it is "snRNA_05678". The record is from RNAcentral. Lineage: Eukaryota; Viridiplantae; Streptophyta; Magnoliopsida; Brassicales; Brassicaceae.